GACGAACGCUGGCGGCGUGCCUAAUACAUGCAAGUCGAACGGAAAGGCCCGGCACUUGUGGGGUGCGCGAGUGGCGAACGGGGGAGUGACACGCGAGUAACCUGCCCUUGACUGCGGGAUAACAUCAGGAAACAGGGGCGAAAAUAGGAUAGGAGCUCCUGCUGCAUGGUGGGGGAUGGAGAGUGUCGGCGGUUGGGGAUGGAAUCGCGGGUUAUCAGCUUGUUGGUGGGGUAGUGGCGUACCACGGCGUUGACGGGUAGCCGGCCUGAGAGGGUGACCGGCCACAAUGGGACUGAGGUACGGCCCAGACUGCAACGUGAGGCAGCGGUGGAAAACAUUGCACAAUAGGCGGAAGCCUGAUACAGCGUCGCCGCGUGCGGAAUGACUGCCUUCGGGUUGUAAACCGCUUUCGCCUGUGACGAAGCGUGAGUGACGGUAAUUGGUAAGGAAGCACCGGCUAACUACGUG
This 468-nucleotide ribosomal RNA is filed under the name uncultured bacterium. RNAcentral describes it as "partial 16S ribosomal RNA". It matches the Rfam family "Bacterial small subunit ribosomal RNA", at positions 28 to 507 of the family's 1533-position model. The record is from RNAcentral.